GUGAAAUUGUCCUUGCAACUGCUCCAUCAGGCCCAUACUUCCUAGGACGUCCCCUUUUCUUCUUCUCUGAGCUAAUUGGAAAGGCGGUAGCCACCGGAGGGGGAAUCACCGCCAAUGUACCAGGUGGUAUAGGAGUAGAUUCUGUUCUAGAUACCAUAUGAUAGUUUGAUGGAGCUUCUGGAGCUAUAGCUUCCCUUGACUCCAUUUUUUU
RNAcentral lists this unclassified non-coding RNA (211 nucleotides) under Hevea brasiliensis (rubber tree). The record is from RNAcentral. Lineage: Eukaryota; Viridiplantae; Streptophyta; Magnoliopsida; Malpighiales; Euphorbiaceae.